UAACACGUAUCCAACCUGCCGAUUAUUCCGGGAUAGCCUUUCGAAAGAAAGAUUAAUACUGGAUAGCAUAACGAGAAGGCAUCUUCUUGUUAUUAAAGAAUUUCGAUAAUCGAUGGGGAUGCGUUCCAUUAGUUUGUUGGCGGGGUAACGGCCCACCAAGACAUCGAUGGAUAGGGGUUCUGAGAGGAAGGUCCCCCACAUUGGAACUGAGACACGGUCCAAACUCCUACGGGAGGCAGCAGUGAGGAAUAUUGGUCAAUGGACGAGAGUCUGAACCAGCCAAGUAGCGUGAAGGAUGACUGCCCUAUGGGUUGUAAACUUCUUUUAUAUGGGAAUAAAGUGAGCCACGUGUGGCUUUUUGUAUGUACCAUACGAAUAAGGAUCGGCUAACUCCGUGCCAGCAGCCGCGGUAAUACGGAGGAUCCGAGCGUUAUCCGGAUUUAUUGGGUUUAAAGGGAGCGUAGGCGGAUUAUUAAGUCAGUUGUGAAAGUUUGCGGCUCAACCGUAAAAUUGCAGUUGAUACUGGUAGUCUUGAGUGCAGCAGAGGUAGGCGGAAUUCGUGGUGUAGCGGUGAAAUGCUUAGAUAUCACGAAGAACUCCGAUUGCGAAGGCAGCUUACUGGACUGUAACUGACGCUGAUGCUCGAAAGUGUGGGUAUCACACAGGAUUAGAUACCCUGGUAGUCCACACAGUAAACGAUGAAUACUCGCUGU
This 713-nucleotide ribosomal RNA is filed under the name uncultured bacterium. RNAcentral's name for it is "bacterial SSU rRNA". It matches the Rfam family "Bacterial small subunit ribosomal RNA", at positions 111 to 823 of the family's 1533-position model. The record is from RNAcentral.